UGCCCGAUGGUGUAAUUGGCAACACGCUUGACUCUGGAUCAAGAGACUCUAGGUUCGACCCCUAGUCGGGCAG
This 73-nucleotide transfer RNA is filed under the name Ignavibacteria bacterium. RNAcentral describes it as "tRNA-Gln". It matches the Rfam family "tRNA". Rfam says of the family: Transfer RNA (tRNA) molecules are approximately 80 nucleotides in length. Their secondary structure includes four short double-helical elements and three loops (D, anti-codon, and T loops). Further hydrogen bonds mediate the characteristic L-shaped molecular structure. tRNAs have two regions of fundamental functional importance: the anti-codon, which is responsible for specific mRNA codon recognition, and the 3' end, to which the tRNAs corresponding amino acid is attached (by aminoacyl-tRNA synthetases). tRNAs cope with the degeneracy of the genetic code in two manners: having more than one tRNA (with a specific anti-codon) for a particular amino acid; and 'wobble' base-pairing, i.e. permitting non-standard base-pairing at the 3rd anti-codon position. The record is from RNAcentral. RNAcentral also lists the same sequence under 1 other name. Lineage: Bacteria; Pseudomonadati; Ignavibacteriota; Ignavibacteria.